Non-coding RNA from Mastomys coucha (southern multimammate mouse), 699 nucleotides. The record is from the annotation of a RefSeq genome assembly. Lineage: Eukaryota; Metazoa; Chordata; Mammalia; Rodentia; Muridae.
UAGUCUCUUAAGUUACAUCCACAACAUCUGGCCAGGGCUCAGGGAUAGUCUUUGGGAUGCACUUCCUCAGAGAGGAUUAGGAUUGGAUCUGAGCAUCCUGCUGCCUGACCCAUGUGUGUUUUCAGUCCUUCCUCUCCAGUUCUUCUCUAGCUGGACUAGGUUCUUACCUAAGAAGUACCCUGCUCAUGCAUGUGCAAAUUCACUGAGUUUAUGGCAGUAAAUACAGGGAUGUCAACACCCUGAAAUCAACCUGUGAUCAGUGUCCUCUCCACAGUUACUGAAAACACUGACUCUUGCCAUGGAAUGGAGCUGGGUGGUUCUCUUCUUCCUGUCAGUAACUGCAGGUGUCCAAUCCCAGAUCCAUCUGCAGCAGUCUGGGGAUGAGCUGGUGAAGCCUGGGGCUUCAGUGAAGCUGUCCUGCAAGGCUUCUGGAUACACCUUCACUAGCUCCUAUAUGAACUGGGUGAAGCAGAGGCCUGGACAGGGCCUUGAGUGGAUUGGAUGGAUUGGUCCUGGAAGUGGUAGUACUGACUACAAUGCAAAGUUCAAGGGCAAGGCCACACUGACUGCAGACACAUCCUCCAGCACAGCCUACAUGCUACUCAGCAGCCUGACAUCUGAGGACUCUGCGGUCUAUUACUGUGCAAGACACAGUGUUGUAACCACAUCCUGAGUGUGUCAGAAACCCUGGAGGAGCAG